Saccostrea echinata is the source of this 621-nucleotide long non-coding RNA. RefSeq lists it as uncharacterized. Lineage: Eukaryota; Metazoa; Mollusca; Bivalvia; Ostreida; Ostreidae. The transcript has 3 exons. The record is from RefSeq and is a predicted model, not a curated record.
UUUUGUAUUUAAAAUCAUCCUUUUGAAUAACAGAUUACGGCACAUUAUUCGUUAAGGGAAUUGAAAAGUCUUCCAGAUAUGACUUUACACUUUACAGAACUUCUGGCAGUUUUUUGUGGAUUUCUUCUAAUUUGUAAUGCCAAGAAAUUAUCGCCCUUAGAGAUGGCCAUAAGAAGCAAUCUUCCAGAUGGUCAGUCCUUCAAGAUGUUUCUGGAGGUUUGUGAGGCUUGUGGGGAACUCUAUGGAUCAGCCCUAACACACUUCUGCUUGAUCGAACGUUCUCUUAACACAUAUGCCAACUGCCUAUUAGCCGUGGGAUUUAAACGUUAAUAGGAUUGUUGGAUUAACAACUCAAAACCUGCUAGUCAUUAAAGACACAGGCCAAAUACCAAAAUCAAUUAUUUAAAUGGAAUUUAACAUUUCUUAAUCUUUACAUGAAAUAAAAAAAUGGUUACUUAUUCUUGGUCAGUCUGUACAAAUUCAAACUUCUUAAGAAAAUUAAUGUAGAAAAAGACAGUAUUGUAAUAAAUUCAAAGACUGUAAAAUCAAAUAAUCAAGCAUAAAGAUUGCUCACUAAAUGCAUCGUUAUUUGUUUUAACAAUAAAAGCAUUUUGAAAAGGA